GGGGUUGUGGCUCAGCGGUAGAGUGCUAGCGCCUAGCAUGUGUGAGGCCCUGGGUUCGAUCCUCAGCACCACCU
Molecule: transfer RNA, 74 nt
Filed under: Ictidomys tridecemlineatus (thirteen-lined ground squirrel)
Lineage: Eukaryota; Metazoa; Chordata; Mammalia; Rodentia; Sciuridae
Description: Spermophilus tridecemlineatus (thirteen-lined ground squirrel) tRNA
Rfam family: tRNA
About the family: Transfer RNA (tRNA) molecules are approximately 80 nucleotides in length. Their secondary structure includes four short double-helical elements and three loops (D, anti-codon, and T loops).
Source: Rfam by way of RNAcentral